Molecule: ribosomal RNA, 2902 nt
Filed under: Escherichia coli
Lineage: Bacteria; Pseudomonadati; Pseudomonadota; Gammaproteobacteria; Enterobacterales; Enterobacteriaceae
Description: bacterial LSU rRNA
Rfam family: Bacterial large subunit ribosomal RNA
Source: RNAcentral
UUAAGCGACUAAGCGUACACGGUGGAUGCCCUGGCAGUCAGAGGCGAUGAAGGACGUGCUAAUCUGCGAUAAGCGUCGGUAAGGUGAUAUGAACCGUUAUAACCGGCGAUUUCCGAAUGGGGAAACCCAGUGUGAUUCGUCACACUAUCAUUAACUGAAUCCAUAGGUUAAUGAGGCGAACCGGGGGAACUGAAACAUCUAAGUACCCCGAGGAAAAGAAAUCAACCGAGAUUCCCCCAGUAGCGGCGAGCGAACGGGGAGGAGCCCAGAGCCUGAAUCAGUGUGUGUGUUAGUGGAAGCGUCUGGAAAGGCGCGCGAUACAGGGUGACAGCCCCGUACACAAAAAUGCACAUGCUGUGAGCUCGAUGAGUAGGGCGGGACACGUGGUAUCCUGUCUGAAUAUGGGGGGACCAUCCUCCAAGGCUAAAUACUCCUGACUGACCGAUAGUGAACCAGUACCGUGAGGGAAAGGCGAAAAGAACCCCGGCGAGGGGAGUGAAAAAGAACCUGAAACCGUGUACGUACAAGCAGUGGGAGCACGCUUAGGCGUGUGACUGCGUACCUUUUGUAUAAUGGGUCAGCGACUUAUAUUCUGUAGCAAGGUUAACCGAAUAGGGGAGCCGAAGGGAAACCGAGUCUUAACUGGGCGUUAAGUUGCAGGGUAUAGACCCGAAACCCGGUGAUCUAGCCAUGGGCAGGUUGAAGGUUGGGUAACACUAACUGGAGGACCGAACCGACUAAUGUUGAAAAAUUAGCGGAUGACUUGUGGCUGGGGGUGAAAGGCCAAUCAAACCGGGAGAUAGCUGGUUCUCCCCGAAAGCUAUUUAGGUAGCGCCUCGUGAAUUCAUCUCCGGGGGUAGAGCACUGUUUCGGCAAGGGGGUCAUCCCGACUUACCAACCCGAUGCAAACUGCGAAUACCGGAGAAUGUUAUCACGGGAGACACACGGCGGGUGCUAACGUCCGUCGUGAAGAGGGAAACAACCCAGACCGCCAGCUAAGGUCCCAAAGUCAUGGUUAAGUGGGAAACGAUGUGGGAAGGCCCAGACAGCCAGGAUGUUGGCUUAGAAGCAGCCAUCAUUUAAAGAAAGCGUAAUAGCUCACUGGUCGAGUCGGCCUGCGCGGAAGAUGUAACGGGGCUAAACCAUGCACCGAAGCUGCGGCAGCGACGCUGAUGCGUUGUUGGGUAGGGGAGCGUUCUGUAAGCCUGUGAAGGUGUACUGUGAGGUAUGCUGGAGGUAUCAGAAGUGCGAAUGCUGACAUAAGUAACGAUAAAGCGGGUGAAAAGCCCGCUCGCCGGAAGACCAAGGGUUCCUGUCCAACGUUAAUCGGGGCAGGGUGAGUCGACCCCUAAGGCGAGGCCGAAAGGCGUAGUCGAUGGGAAACAGGUUAAUAUUCCUGUACUUGGUGUUACUGCGAAGGGGGGACGGAGAAGGCUAUGUUGGCCGGGCGACGGUUGUCCCGGUUUAAGCGUGUAGGCUGGUUUUCCAGGCAAAUCCGGAAAAUCAAGGCUGAGGCGUGAUGACGAGGCACUACGGUGCUGAAGCAACAAAUGCCCUGCUUCCAGGAAAAGCCUCUAAGCAUCAGGUAACAUCAAAUCGUACCCCAAACCGACACAGGUGGUCAGGUAGAGAAUACCAAGGCGCUUGAGAGAACUCGGGUGAAGGAACUAGGCAAAAUGGUGCCGUAACUUCGGGAGAAGGCACGCUGAUAUGUAGGUGAAGUCCCUCGCGGAUGGAGCUGAAAUCAGUCGAAGAUACCAGCUGGCUGCAACUGUUUAUUAAAAACACAGCACUGUGCAAACACGAAAGUGGACGUAUACGGUGUGACGCCUGCCCGGUGCCGGAAGGUUAAUUGAUGGGGUUAGCGCAAGCGAAGCUCUUGAUCGAAGCCCCGGUAAACGGCGGCCGUAACUAUAACGGUCCUAAGGUAGCGAAAUUCCUUGUCGGGUAAGUUCCGACCUGCACGAAUGGCGUAAUGAUGGCCAGGCUGUCUCCACCCGAGACUCAGUGAAAUUGAACUCGCUGUGAAGAUGCAGUGUACCCGCGGCAAGACGGAAAGACCCCGUGAACCUUUACUAUAGCUUGACACUGAACAUUGAGCCUUGAUGUGUAGGAUAGGUGGGAGGCUUGGAAGUGUGGACGCCAGUCUGCAUGGAGCCGACCUUGAAAUACCACCCUUUAAUGUUUGAUGUUCUAACGUUGACCCGUAAUCCGGGUUGCGGACAGUGUCUGGUGGGUAGUUUGACUGGGGCGGUCUCCUCCUAAAGAGUAACGGAGGAGCACGAAGGUUGGCUAAUCCUGGUCGGACAUCAGGAGGUUAGUGCAAUGGCAUAAGCCAGCUUGACUGCGAGCGUGACGGCGCGAGCAGGUGCGAAAGCAGGUCAUAGUGAUCCGGUGGUUCUGAAUGGAAGGGCCAUCGCUCAACGGAUAAAAGGUACUCCGGGGAUAACAGGCUGAUACCGCCCAAGAGUUCAUAUCGACGGCGGUGUUUGGCACCUCGAUGUCGGCUCAUCACAUCCUGGGGCUGAAGUAGGUCCCAAGGGUAUGGCUGUUCGCCAUUUAAAGUGGUACGCGAGCUGGGUUUAGAACGUCGUGAGACAGUUCGGUCCCUAUCUGCCGUGGGCGCUGGAGAAUUGAGGGGGGCUGCUCCUAGUACGAGAGGACCGGAGUGGACGCAUCACUGGUGUUCGGGUUGUCAUGCCAAUGGCACUGCCCGGUAGCUAAAUGCGGAAGAGAUAAGUGCUGAAAGCAUCUAAGCACGAAACUUGCCCCGAGAUGAGUUCUCCCUGACUCCUUGAGAGUCCUGAAGGAACGUUGAAGACGACGACGUUGAUAGGCCGGGUGUGUAAGCGCAGCGAUGCGUUGAGCUAACCGGUACUAAUGAACCGUGAGGCUUAACCUU